UACGAAGGGGGCUAGCGUUGUUCGGAAUUACUGGGCGUAAAGCGCGUGUAGGCGGUCGUGCAAGUCGGGUGUGAAAGCCCUGGGCUCAACCCAGGAAGUGCAUUCGAUACUGCGCGACUGGAGUCCCGGAGAGGAUGGUGGAACUCUCGGUGUAGAGGUGAAAUUCGUAGAUAUCGAGAAGAACACCGGUGGCGAAGGCGGCCAUCUGGACGGUGACUGACGCUGAGACGCGAAAGCGUGGGGAGCAAACAGG
Molecule: ribosomal RNA, 253 nt
Filed under: uncultured bacterium
Lineage: Bacteria
Description: partial 16S ribosomal RNA
Rfam family: Bacterial small subunit ribosomal RNA
Source: RNAcentral